GAAUCGGACCUGCCCGGUGGGUAUUAUUUUAACGGCCGCGGUACUCUGACCGUGCGAAGGUAGCAUAAUAAUUUGUCUUAUAAUUGAAGUCUUGUAUGAAUGGUUUAACAAGGGUGUAGCUGUCUCCUUUUAAUUUUUUAAAAUUUUAUGGUUAAGUUAAGAAGCUUAAAUUUAAUUAAAAGACAAGAAGACCCUAUCGAGCUUUAAAAGUGUUACUGGGGGUGUAUAUAUUAAUUUAUAUGUUGUACUAGUAAAUAAAUUUUGGUUGGGGCGACUGAGGAACAUAAAAAGCUUCCUUAAGAUGGUAUACUGGUAAGUGUUGAUCCAAAAUGUUUGAUUAAUAAAAUUAGUUACCGUAGGGAUAACAGCAUUAUCCUCUUUGAGAGUUCACAUCGAAAAGGGGGUUUGUGACCUCGAUGUUGGACCAGAAUAUCCUGAAGAUGUAGUCGUCUUUAAGGGUUGGUC
RNAcentral lists this ribosomal RNA (465 nucleotides) under Ellatrivia merces. RNAcentral's name for it is "Trivella merces partial 16S large subunit ribosomal RNA". It matches the Rfam family "Bacterial large subunit ribosomal RNA", at positions 1850 to 2577 of the family's 2925-position model. Lineage: Eukaryota; Metazoa; Mollusca; Gastropoda; Littorinimorpha; Cypraeidae. The record is from RNAcentral.